GAUGAAGAACGUAGUGAAAUGCGAUAAGUAAUGUGAAUUGCAGAAUUCAGUGAAUCAUCGAAUCUUUGAACGCACCUUGCACCCUUUGGCAUUCCGAAGGGUAUGCUCGUUUGAGUGUCAUUGUACUCUCACUCUCCCGAUACUUUUGGAUCGGGAGUGGUGGACUUGGGUGCUGCUGCUUAACUGUGGCUCGCCUUAAAUGAAGUAGUGCAACUCUCGGUUGGACAUAGUACGGCGUGAUAAGUGUCUUCGCCGGCGCCUCAUUCGAGGGUGGCCGAUCGGGAGCUCUGUGCUUCAAACUGUCUUCGGGCAACAUCUGACAACUUGACCUCAAAUCGAGUAGGACUACCCGCUGAACUUAAGCAUAUCAAUAAGCGGAGGA
Molecule: unclassified non-coding RNA, 382 nt
Filed under: soil metagenome
Description: partial contains 5.8S ribosomal RNA, internal transcribed spacer 2, and large subunit ribosomal RNA
Rfam family: 5.8S ribosomal RNA (bases 1-120)
Source: RNAcentral